This 491-nucleotide ribosomal RNA is filed under the name uncultured bacterium. RNAcentral's name for it is "partial 16S ribosomal RNA". It matches the Rfam family "Bacterial small subunit ribosomal RNA", at positions 355 to 843 of the family's 1533-position model. The record is from RNAcentral.
UAGGGAAUCUUCCACAAUGGACGCAAGUCUGAUGGAGCAACGCCGCGUGAGUGAAGAAGGUUUUCGGAUCGUAAAGCUCUGUUGUUGGUGAAGAAGGAUAGAGGCAGUAACUGGUCUUUAUUUGACGGUAAUCAACCAGAAAGUCACGGCUAACUACGUGCCAGCAGCCGCGGUAAUACGUAGGUGGUAAGCGUUGUCCGGAUUUAUUGGGCGUAAAGCGAGCGCAGGCGGAAUGAUAAGUCUGAUGUGAAAGCCCACGGCUCAACCGUGGAACUGCAUCGGAAACUGUCAUUCUUGAGUGCAGAAGAGGAGAGUGGAACUCCAUGUGUAGCGGUGGAAUGCGUAGAUAUAUGGAAGAACACCAGUGGCGAAGGCGGCUCUCUGGUCUGCAACUGACGCUGAGGCUCGAAAGCAUGGGUAGCGAACAGGAUUAGAUACCCUGGUAGUCCAUGCCGUAAACGAUGAGCGCUAGGUGUUGGGGGACUUUCCGG